RNAcentral lists this ribosomal RNA (651 nucleotides) under Bacillus sp. SCULCB PT-26. Its description in RNAcentral is "bacterial SSU rRNA". It matches the Rfam family "Bacterial small subunit ribosomal RNA", at positions 66 to 700 of the family's 1533-position model. Lineage: Bacteria; Bacillati; Bacillota; Bacilli; Caryophanales; Bacillaceae. The record is from RNAcentral.
GCGGACAGAAGGGAGCUUGCUCCCGGAUGUUAGCGGCGGACGGGUGAGUAACACGUGGGUAACCUGCCUGUAAGACUGGGAUAACUCCGGGAAACCGGAGCUAAUACCGGAUAGUUCCUUGAACCGCAUGGUUCAAGGAUGAAAGACGGUUUCGGCUGUCACUUACAGAUGGACCCGCGGCGCAUUAGCUAGUUGGUGGGGUAAUGGCUCACCAAGGCGACGAUGCGUAGCCGACCUGAGAGGGUGAUCGGCCACACUGGGACUGAGACACGGCCCAGACUCCUACGGGAGGCAGCAGUAGGGAAUCUUCCGCAAUGGACGAAAGUCUGACGGAGCAACGCCGCGUGAGUGAUGAAGGUUUUCGGAUCGUAAAGCUCUGUUGUUAGGGAAGAACAAGUGCGAGAGUAACUGCUCGCACCUUGACGGUACCUAACCAGAAAGCCACGGCUAACUACGUGCCAGCAGCCGCGGUAAUACGUAGGUGGCAAGCGUUGUCCGGAAUUAUUGGGCGUAAAGGGCUCGCAGGCGGUUUCUUAAGUCUGAUGUGAAAGCCCCCGGCUCAACCGGGGAGGGUCAUUGGAAACUGGGAAACUUGAGUGCAGAAGAGGAGAGUGGAAUUCCACGUGUAGCGGUGAAAUGCGUAGAGAUGUG